Non-coding RNA from Macaca mulatta (Rhesus monkey), 1966 nucleotides. Lineage: Eukaryota; Metazoa; Chordata; Mammalia; Primates; Cercopithecidae. The record is from RefSeq and is a predicted model, not a curated record.
AAAAACCAUGAAGUUUUGAUUGUAACUUUCAAACCUGAGCCAUUGCCAGCAGUGGCAGCUCCACAGGUUUGAGUGAGUUUAGCUCAUUAAAUAACAUGCUAUUAUAAUGUUUGCUGAAGAGUCUCAGCUAUUUGUAGAUUAGUUUCUGAAACUUUUCAUUUUGCCUUAACAUUUGUACUAGACAGAGGAGGUGGAAUGUAUGUGUUGUAGGAGGAUGAGAGAGCAAAGUCUAACUGAAUAUGAAGUAAGGAAGUUGGAGAGGAUAAAAAAUAUUUUGGGAAAGUGGACAUUUGUCAUUAUUUUUGGCUGACUACUCCCCUCUUCACCUUUUGUCUUUGAGACAUUCUCCUUUUUGGCAGAUAGCAGAAUCCUUUUCACUCAGUAGAAGUCACAUGCCAUUCUAACCUUCCUUAUAGCUAGAUUAUAGGCAUAUGACUCAAGAUACAUGAUGAUUCAUCAGUUCCAUCCAAGGUAGAUUGUAACUUAGAAGGUAGGAGUCCAAAGAGCCAGGGCCACCAGGAAGCUAUCAUGAUGAGGUUAAUGGUGUCUGUGGUGGCUAGAUCCAGUUUCCAGGGUUCAUGGUAACGGUUCCAGCAGCUAGCAGGGGCCAGUGUCUAGCAUCAGUGUUGUCAGUGGGACAAGCAGUUGAGUCUGUGCCUGGUAAAAGCAACAGUUGUGCCUUCAUAGAAUCAGUUAUAUGAGGGAAUUUUGUUAAUUUUGAAUGUUUUUCUUGGAUGGGUGGCAUUUAAGUUGAUUCUGACACUCCUGGAACUUCCAUGAGUAACACAAUAUCUUUCAAUAAUUCCCUUUUUGCCUUAAUCACUCAGCUUGUCAGAGGUGUUUGAACUAGAGCAACUCCAUUUUGAAUGGGAGUGGGAAAAACGAUUUUGAGACUUGCUGGGCCACAUUCCCAGGAGGCUAAGUAUCUUAGUCACAAGGUAUUUACAGUUAAGGGAACAGAAACAGACCCGGACAAUAUCCUGAUGUCCUGAUAUCUUGAGAACAAAAGCAUUCCUAGUUUAAAAACAAGUUUUGCUUUAAAGAUAAUAAUAUAGACUCUUGUGAAAGAUAGUAGUUACACAAAGAUUAGCAAUCCUUUAUCCCAAAUCCUUGUGGUAGAGCACAUCUCUCCCAUGAUUUUUGUUAUAUACAAACAAGCAUUGUACCUAAGGUGGGUGCAUUCCUGUGCUUACUUUCAGGAACACCCUGCUCUGUCUAUGGAGUAGCUAUUCUUACAUUCUUUUACUUUUCAAAAUAGACUUGUAUUCACUUUCCUCUGCGGACUUGGUCUGAAUUCUUUCCUGCACGAGAUCCAAGAACCCUCUCUUGGGGUCUCAAUGGGACCACUUUCUGGUAACAUCCUCCUGGUGAACCACAAAGGGACUACUGAAGAGACCCCUGACCCAAAGGAAAUAAACUGCAGCACCAAUUGGCCAAUUCUGGAUUUCACCUGUUAUCAGGACUCGGAGUUGUGAAAGAGACCCUAAUGAUUAGAUGAGAACAUCACUGCUUCUGUUCAGCAUGAAGAAGCUACAGAAGAUGGAUAUUCAUCCCUCUGCCACUUUUAGGAUUAAGGCUUUCCUUGUAAAAGGAAGGGGGGAAAUGUCAGAGGCAUUCGAACUAGAGCAACUCCAUCUUGAAUAGGGACUGAGUAAAAUGAGGCCAAGGCCUGCCAGGUGGCACUUCUGGAAGGUUAGGCAUUCUUAGCCACAAGAUAUUUUUGCAUAAGGAAACAGAAACAUACCCAAUACCUAACAGACCCAGGAAAUGUCCUGAUGUCCCGAUAUAUUAAGAAGAAACCAUUCCUAGUUUAAGAAUAAGUUUUGCUUUAAAGAUAAUAAUAUAGACUCUUGCGAAUGGUGGUAGUUACACAAAGAUCAGCAAUCCUUUAUCCCAAAUCCUUGUAAUAGAGUACAUCUCCCUCAUGAUUUUGGUUAUCUGAUAAAUAAACAAGCAUUGUACCUAA